GUGUAGCUCAGUGGUAGAGUGUGUGCCUAGCAUGCACAAGACCCUGGGUUCGAUUCCCAGCAC
Molecule: transfer RNA, 63 nt
Filed under: Urocitellus parryii (Arctic ground squirrel)
Lineage: Eukaryota; Metazoa; Chordata; Mammalia; Rodentia; Sciuridae
Also listed under: 2 other names
Description: Spermophilus parryii (Arctic ground squirrel) tRNA
Rfam family: tRNA
About the family: Transfer RNA (tRNA) molecules are approximately 80 nucleotides in length. Their secondary structure includes four short double-helical elements and three loops (D, anti-codon, and T loops).
Source: Rfam by way of RNAcentral